GGACUACCCGGGUAUCUAAUCCUGUUUGCUACCCACGCUUUCGUGUCUCAGCGUCAGUUACGGUCCAGAAAGCCGUCUACACCACCGGUGUUCCUCCUGAUAUCUACGCAUUUCACCGCUACACCAGGAAUUCCACUUUCCUCUCCCGUACUCUAGUCCCUCAGUAUUCACCGCACCCUCCCGGUUAAGCCGGGAGAUUUCACAGCAAACUUAAGGAACCGCCUACACACCCUUUACGCCCAGUAACUCCGAACAACGCUUGCUGCCUACGUAUUACCGCGGCUGCUGGCAC
Molecule: ribosomal RNA, 292 nt
Filed under: uncultured Acidobacteriota bacterium
Lineage: Bacteria; Pseudomonadati; Acidobacteriota
Description: uncultured Acidobacteria bacterium partial 16S ribosomal RNA
Source: RNAcentral